RNAcentral lists this ribosomal RNA (1372 nucleotides) under uncultured bacterium. RNAcentral describes it as "bacterial SSU rRNA". It matches the Rfam family "Bacterial small subunit ribosomal RNA", at positions 28 to 1381 of the family's 1533-position model. The record is from RNAcentral.
GAUGAACGCUGGCGGCGUGCCUAAUACAUGCAAGUCGAGCGAACGGACGAGAAGCUUGCUUCUCUGAUGUUAGCGGCGGACGGGUGAGUAACACGUGGAUAACCUACCUAUAAGACUGGGAUAACUUCGGGAAACCGGAGCUAAUACCGGAUAAUAUUUUGAACCGCAUGGUUCAAAAGUGAAAGACGGUCUUGCUGUCACUUAUAGAUGGAUCCGCGCUGCAUUAGCUAGUUGGUAAGGUAACGGCUUACCAAGGCAACGAUGCAUAGCCGACCUGAGAGGGUGAUCGGCCACACUGGAACUGAGACACGGUCCAGACUCCUACGGGAGGCAGCAGUAGGGAAUCUUCCGCAAUGGGCGAAAGCCUGACGGAGCAACGCCGCGUGAGUGAUGAAGGUCUUCGGAUCGUAAAACUCUGUUAUUAGGGAAGAACAUAUGUGUAAGUAACUGUGCACAUCUUGACGGUACCUAAUCAGAAAGCCACGGCUAACUACGUGCCAGCAGCCGCGGUAAUACGUAGGUGGCAAGCGUUAUCCGGAAUUAUUGGGCGUAAAGCGCGCGUAGGCGGUUUUUUAAGUCUGAUGUGAAAGCCCACGGCUCAACCGUGGAGGGUCAUUGGAAACUGGAAAACUUGAGUGCAGAAGAGGAAAGUGGAAUUCCAUGUGUAGCGGUGAAAUGCGCAGAGAUAUGGAGGAACACCAGUGGCGAAGGCGACUUUCUGGUCUGUAACUGACGCUGAUGUGCGAAAGCGUGGGGAUCGAACAGGAUUAGAUACCCUGGUAGUCCACGCCGUAAACGAUGAGUGCUAAGUGUUAGGGGGUUUCCGCCCCUUAGUGCUGCAGCUAACGCAUUAAGCACUCCGCCUGGGGAGUUCGACCGCAAGGUUGAAACUCAAAGGAAUUGACGGGGACCCGCACAAGCGGUGGAGCAUGUGGUUUAAUUCGAAGCAACGCGAAGAACCUUACCAAAUCUUGACAUCCUUUGACAACUCUAGAGAUAGAGCCUUCCCCUUCGGGGGACAAAGUGACAGGUGGUGCAUGGUUGUCGUCAGCUCGUGUCGUGAGGUGUUGGGUUAAGUCCCGCAACGAGCGCAACCCUUAAGCUUAGUUGCCAUCAUUAAGUUGGGCACUCUAAGUUGACUGCCGGUGACAAACCGGAGGAGGGUGGGGAUGACGUCAAAUCAUCAUGCCCCUUAUGAUUUGGGCUACACACGUGCUACAAUGGACAAUACAAAGGGCAGCGAAACCGCGAGGUCAAGCAAAUCCCAUAAAGUUGUUCUCAGUUCGGAUUGUAGUCUGCAACUCGACUACAUGAAGCUGGAAUCGCUAGUAAUCGUAGAUCAGCAUGCUACGGUGAAUACGUUCCCGGGUCU